GGGUUGUGAGGUUAAGCGACUAAGCGUACACGGUGGAUGCCCUGGCAGUCAGAGGCGAUGAAGGGCGUGCUAAUCUGCGAUAAGCGCCGGUAAGGUGAUAUGAACCGUUAUAACCGGCGAUACCCGAAUGGGGAAACCCAGUGUGUUUCGACACACUAUCAUUAACUGAAUCCAUAGGUUAAUGAGGCGAACCGGGGGAACUGAAACAUCUAAGUACCCCGAGGAAAAGAAAUCAACCGAGAUUCCCCCAGUAGCGGCGAGCGAACGGGGAGGAGCCCAGAGCCUGAAUCAGCAUGUGUGUUAGUGGAAGCGUCUGGAAAGGCGCGCGAUACAGGGUGACAGCCCCGUACACAAAAGCGCAUGUGCUGUGAGCUCGAUGAGUAGGGCGGGACACGUGGUAUCCUGUCUGAAUAUGGGGGGACCAUCCUCCAAGGCUAAAUACUCCUGACUGACCGAUAGUGAACCAGUACCGUGAGGGAAAGGCGAAAAGAACCCCGGCGAGGGGAGUGAAAAAGAACCUGAAACCGUGUACGUACAAGCAGUGGGAGCACCCUUUGGGGUGUGACUGCGUACCUUUUGUAUAAUGGGUCAGCGACUUAUAUUCUGUAGCAAGGUUAACCGAAUAGGGGAGCCGGAGGGAAACCGAGUCUUAA
Molecule: ribosomal RNA, 653 nt
Filed under: Salmonella enterica subsp. enterica serovar Give
Lineage: Bacteria; Pseudomonadati; Pseudomonadota; Gammaproteobacteria; Enterobacterales; Enterobacteriaceae
Description: bacterial LSU rRNA
Rfam family: Bacterial large subunit ribosomal RNA
Source: RNAcentral